GUACAAUCUGAGUCAUAAAGUAGUCGUACUUUAUCAGCAACUGUUCAUGGCCGAUUGGUCACAUGACCUAGCUGGAGCCAUUCUAACGAAACAUCGCGCGUCCUGGGAUAGCAUUUGUCGCUUUCUGUGAAUUACCUCCCUUGAUCAAAGAUGGCUAAUUGUGGGUGGCUGUGGAGUUUCAUCUGGUUCAUUAUCCUGAUCGUCUUUGGUUGGCCAAUCGGAUUCUUCUGUGCCGUCUUCUACGUUCUGCUUAGUCCCUGUGCAGCCUGCUGUUCUGGAUGUGUAGAACUUAUAAAUUUAUUAGAGAGGGGUGUUAAACUGCCCCUCACAUGCGCACAGAACAUGGUCAGUGGGAAGUCCAUGUGUUGAGCUGGAUCACCAGGGCAUAAUGUGGCAAUUCGUAGAAGGAUGCUCACGUCUGUAGUCAAAUGACUUUCUUCAACCAAGCAAGACAGCUACAAACACAACACCCAACACCAUUGACCACUCCAAUCACCAAUGACAUCAUCAUUAGCAUGUUGAAGCGAUGAAGGAAGGAAUUGCAAUUUGACCGGAGGGACCACCCAACUACAGCCUAAGUGAAUAUUAGUUAUCAGUGUAGUCAAAGGUCCAGUGUACCUAUAUGGAUCGCUGUUACUGUUGUAGCUCCUGUUGGUUAUAUAUGCAUGUCCCGCAAGUAGAGCGGUAGUGUAGUGGGCUGAUUUCAGGAUUCUGAGGGAUUGGACUGUUAUCUAAUGUUUAUAUUAUAUUUUAUUAAGAAAUUUUAACUCUUUUAAGUUUGAAUCCAUGGAAGGAGAUUAUUGGGAAUUAACUAUGUCUUAUAUUCUGAUAUGUCUUCCUAUGUCGUUAUGAUGAUGCCUGUAAAAUCAGAUAAAUAUUAUAAUUUUUACAUUAGGUCAUUUUUUUGGGAUAGAGCAUUUUCGGCUUUUAUCCAAUCAGGGUGAUUCAUUACGUUCUGUCAUCCAUAAGUAAUUGAUAUUAAGUGUUAUACACUAUCAUGUAGUCAGGCACAGCUUGAUUAAUCACAAAUAAUCAGUAGCUUUUCUUAGUUGGAACGGCUGUUAUUAUGUACAGUGUAUUUUCUUUAUGCAAAAAUGAGCCUGUUUGCAAUAUUUUUAUAUAUCUGUGCCUUUUAAAAUGAAAUAAGGAUUGUUUUAGCCAAACAUUUAUGCAUUUAAUAACUUGUACUAGUUUUGAUAUUAAUGGUGCUAAGUAUGCUGCCGGUAUGUUACUGAUUCAUUGUUACAGAUCUAUUUCAAUAAUUAACAAGUCUUUCAAAUCUUAAAUAUUUUUCCUCGAUUCGAUGGAAACACUUUACCUCAGCCAUUGUUGAUUAAAACUAGUAGUUGAUGUUUGAUUGUUAGUGUAAAGCUUGUGCAUUGCUAAUGUGAUUAUAGUACUUAGGGCUGCAACAAUAGUGAAGACCAUUGUUUAGUAUGUAUGCAUAUGUCCCAGCUCACAAUAUGAUCCGUAUACACUGGGAACAAAAAAUUAUACAUCACAAAUCUUUAACCCACUUUAGAGACUCCCUUUGAAGUGGUCAAAGUUUUGCCAUGAAAUUGCUGGCCUAUUUAUGAUUGGCUAUUUGAACAGCAUGAUGUAGUCUGUUAUCCAAUGAAACAGCUUGUGGGAUAAAGCUGAGCUGAUGAAUUUAUGAAUUGACAGCUGCAAUGAGGAACAAUCUGCUGGAUGAUUGUUUGUUAGCACUGUAUCAUGACAUGUCUUGAGUCGAGGAUCAUUGCAAUCGUGACCCAUUCCACCACUCGUACUUUUACACAAGCAUGUAUUUUUAUCGUCUAGUGAAGUAGUUUUACACAUUUCGAUUGCUGUAGUUUCGAUAAAAGUAUGUUACCCCGACAUAAUUGGUGAUCUUGGUGAUUGUACAUUUGACAUCAUUUAUUGACUCCAAUGUAUUUUGUUUUCAACUGUAAUGUAAUAUAAUGCCGGUUGAUAUGUUUCACUGCUUCAUGUGUUCAGGUUAGUUGCUCAAUGUGCAUUUAGAGGAAGAUACCUAGAACCUUUCAACAAACUCAGAUGUGGAAUUUACAUAAACGUGUAAAGGGCUAAUUUCAAGAUACUGUUUUUAUUCAAUUUUCAGGGUGCCAAAAUAUGUUUGUUAUCAGCUUGGUUCCUUUCCACUGAAAAGGGGUGAUGGGGUGUCCUUGUGGUUAAAGCGUCCGCUUGUCACACAAACCUGGGUUCGAUUCCCCGCAUGUGAAGCCCAUUUCUGGUGUCCCCCGAUGUGAUGUUGCCAGAAUAUUGCUAAAAGCGGCAUAAAAACAUACCCACCCUCCUCUGAAAAUACCAAUCCGCAUGUCUACACCCUUCAUACUCAAGUUGAAGUAUAUUUCCGCACCUGGUAUUGGGCAUUCUUGUCUAGCUCUUCUACGUGUUGACAGACGUAAAUCUGAUUGUGAAGGAUGAUGUCUUGUGUUGUUGAUUGCUCAAUGACAAUGCACUACCUUUCUAUAUGCUGCACUUACUCAAGCAUGUCAUGUUCUUUGUGGCUUGCUGUGGUUUUUUUAAUAUUGAUCCGGGGGGUAAUCGUUUGAGUUCAGACCCGUGAAGAUUGGGGUAGAGAAUAGGUCUUCAGCAACCCAUGCUUGCCGUAAAAGGCAACUAUGCUUGUCGUAAGAGGCGACUAAUGGGAUCAGGUGGUCAGGCUCGCUGACUUGGUUGAUGCAUGUCAUCAUAUCCCAAUUGUUUGGAUCAAUGCUUGUGAUGUCAAUCACUGGAUUGUCUGGUCCAGACUCAAUUAUUUACAGACCACCAUCAUGUAGCUGGAAUAUUGCUGAAUGCAGCAUUAAACAACAAACAAAACAUUUGAGUUCACCUGUUAUACAGACUGCUGGAGAUUAAACAGAAUUACUUGUAUUCAGGUAUACUUGUCUUGUAUCACUCUUGAAAUGAUAUGUACCCAAGAUUGGUUGAUAUUCAUCUGUUGGACUUCCUUGUCCCAAACAGCCACAGGAAAGCAAAUAUUGAAUAAUAUGCACUUCCCCUGUUAUGUAUAUAUUCUCUUUUGCUGUCCACUAUUCGCUACAGAGCUGAUCAGGCUGAAGAUACUUGCACUCCAGUGACACCCUUGCUCCAGAUAUUGCUGCUAUCCGCUCAGCUUGUUUUAAAUGUGAAAUCUCACCAGAAAACUGUUGUUUGUUUUCUGUAUGUUAUGUGAUGAUUUAAACCGAUUUGUCCAGUGAUUGCUUUUACACAUCUUUUUUUUUUUUUUUAAAUUGAUAUUGUGUAAUCUGUCUACAUGUUUAUACUGCUUCAAAUAAAAUCAUUUAUCUGA
Molecule: long non-coding RNA, 3292 nt
Organism: Haliotis rufescens (red abalone)
Lineage: Eukaryota; Metazoa; Mollusca; Gastropoda; Lepetellida; Haliotidae
Exons: 2
Source: RefSeq, a predicted model, not a curated record